RNAcentral lists this ribosomal RNA (408 nucleotides) under uncultured rumen bacterium. RNAcentral's name for it is "bacterial SSU rRNA". It matches the Rfam family "Bacterial small subunit ribosomal RNA", at positions 509 to 916 of the family's 1533-position model. The record is from RNAcentral.
CAGCAGCCGCGGUAAUACGAAGGGGGCUAGCGUUGCUCGGAAUUACUGGGCGUAAAGGGCGCGUAGGCGGACAGUUAAGUGGGGGGUGAAAGCCCGGGGCUCAACCUCGGAAUUGCCUUCAAUACUGGCUGUCUUGAGUACGGGAGAGGUGAGUGGAACUCCGAGUGUAGAGGUGAAAUUCGUAGAUAUUCGGAAGAACACCAGUGGCGAAGGCGACUCACUGGCCCGUUACUGACGCUGAGGCGCGAAAGCGUGGGGAGCAAACAGGAUUAGAUACCCUGGUAGUCCACGCUCGUAAACGAUGAGUGCUAGUUGUCGGCAUGCAUGCAUGUCGGUGACGCAGCUAACGCAUUAAGCACUCCGCCUGGGGAGUACGGUCGCAAGAUUAAAACUCAAAGAAAUUGACGG